This 1589-nucleotide ribosomal RNA is filed under the name Clostridioides difficile. Its description in RNAcentral is "bacterial LSU rRNA". It matches the Rfam family "Bacterial large subunit ribosomal RNA", at positions 1325 to 2925 of the family's 2925-position model. Lineage: Bacteria; Bacillati; Bacillota; Clostridia; Peptostreptococcales; Peptostreptococcaceae. The record is from RNAcentral.
GAAUCCCACAGGCCGUAAACCCAAGGUUUCCAGGGGAAGGUUCGUCCGCCCUGGGUUAGUCGGGACCUAAGCUGAGGCCGAAAGGCGUAGGUGAUGGACAACAGGUUGAUAUUCCUGUACUACCGAUAACCGUUUGAGAGAAGGGAUGACACAGUAGGAUAAGCUAAGCACACUGUUGGUUAUGUGUGCCCAAGCAUUGAGGCAGUCAAAGUAGGCAAAUCCGCUUUGAUAAUGCUGGGAUGUGAUGGGGAGCGAAAUUUAGUAGCGAAGUAGCUGAUUUCACACUGUCAAGAAAAGUCUCUAUCGAGGUUAAAGGUACCCGUACCGCAAACCGACACAGGUGGGUGAGGAGAGUAUCCUAAGGCCAGCGAGAGAACUGUUGUUAAGGAACUCGGCAAAAUGACCCCGUAACUUAGGGAUAAGGGGUGCCACCAUCAGGUGGCCGCAGAGAAUAGGCCCAAGCGACUGUUUACCAAAAACAUAGGUUUCUGCUAAGUCGCAAGACGAUGUAUAGGAGCUGACGCCUGCCCGGUGCUGGAAGGUUAAGGGGAUCUGUUAGAGCAAUCGAAGCAGUGAACUUAAGCCCCAGUAAACGGCGGCCGUAACUAUAACGGUCCUAAGGUAGCGAAAUUCCUUGUCGGGUAAGUUCCGACCCGCACGAAAGGCGUAACGAUUUGGGCACUGUCUCAACAACAGACUCGGUGAAAUUGUAAUUCCGGUGAAGAUGCCGGAUACCUGCGACAGGACGGAAAGACCCCAUGGAGCUUUACUGUAGCUUGACAUUGGGUCUUGGUACUACAUGUACAGGAUAGGUGGGAGGCUUUGAAACCAGGACGCCAGUUUUGGCGGAGCCAUCCUUGGGAUACCACCCUUGUAGUACUGGGACUCUAACCAUAGGCCAUGAAUCUGGUCUUGGGACACUGUCAGGUGGGCAGUUUGACUGGGGCGGUCGCCUCCCAAAAGGUAACGGAGGCGCUCAAAGGUUCUCUCAGUACGGUCGGAAAUCGUACGUAGAGUGUAAAGGCAAAAGAGAGCUUGAUUGCAAGACAUACAGGUCGAGCAAGGAUGAAAAUCGGACUUAGUGAUCCGGUGGUUCUGCGUGGAAGGGCCAUCGCUCAACGGAUAAAAGCUACCCUGGGGAUAACAGGCUUAUCUCCCCCAAGAGUCCACAUCGACGGGGAGGUUUGGCACCUCGAUGUCGGCUCAUCACAUCCUGGGGCUGUAGUAGGUCCCAAGGGUUGGGCUGUUCGCCCAUUAAAGUGGUACGCGAGCUGGGUUCAGAACGUCGUGAGACAGUUCGGUCCCUAUCCGUCGCAGGCGUAGGAAAUUUGAGAAGACCUGUCCUUAGUACGAGAGGACCGGGAUGGACGUACCUCUGGUGUACCAGUUGUCCUGCCAAGGGCAUGGCUGGGUAGCUAUGUACGGAAUGGAUAAGCGCUGAAAGCAUCUAAGCGCGAAGCCAACUUCAAGAUAAGAUUUCCCACCGCAAGGGUAAGACCCCAGAAAGACUAUCUGGUUGAUAGGUCGAAGGUGUAAGUGCAGCAAUGUAUUUAGCUUAUCGAUACUAAUAGGUCGAGGACUUGACCAAU